CGGGACGGGUGAGUAAUGUCUGGGAAACUGCCUGAUGGAGGGGGAUAACUACUGGAAACGGUAGCUAAUACCGCAUAACGUCGCAAGACCAAAGAGGGGGACCUUCGGGCCUCUCGCCAUCGGAUGUGCCCAGAUGGGAUUAGCUAGUAGGUGGGGUAACGGCUCACCUAGGCGACGAUCCCUAGCUGGUCUGAGAGGAUGACCAGCCACACUGGAACUGAGACACGGUCCAG
RNAcentral lists this ribosomal RNA (233 nucleotides) under uncultured bacterium. RNAcentral describes it as "partial 16S ribosomal RNA". It matches the Rfam family "Bacterial small subunit ribosomal RNA", at positions 100 to 334 of the family's 1533-position model. The record is from RNAcentral.